CUUUAUUUGUGUGGUUUGAAAUGAAUGCAGAAGAACUUUGUCGGCGUUCGCGCCAUGUUUUCAAUUGGUUGGUUGCAGUAUUUGCUGCUGUUCAUUUGGUAUGUUGAAAUAUCAAACAGUCAACAUCCACAAGCCACUCAGGAAUUUCUGGACAGCUUGUGCAAAUAUGAAACUUAUGCUAACCUAGCAGCAGCCAAGAAUAUGUAUGAUAUGCAAAUUGACGACGGGUCCGUUUGGUUUUUCUUCAUGUCGGCUUUGCGGGAUAUUUGCGGAGAUGAUUCGUACCUGCAUCCGAAUCGAUGACAUCGUUAUUAGAAAAGAAGAUUGCCUGAAAUAAACCUAACCAGACGUGACUGCUGUUUUUGGCAGCGAA
This is a long non-coding RNA of Toxorhynchites rutilus septentrionalis, 373 nucleotides long. RefSeq lists it as uncharacterized. The record is from RefSeq and is a predicted model, not a curated record. NCBI's taxonomy places the organism in Eukaryota, Metazoa, Arthropoda, Insecta, Diptera, Culicidae. The transcript is spliced from 2 exons.